GGAAAUGGGGCUUUUGUGAGAUAGUUAGGUCGUGAGCAUGGAGCCCUCAUGAUGGAAUUAGUGCCCUUAAAAUAAGAGACAUAAAAUAUGUAUCUCUUUACCCUGUCCCUCUCUUUCUCUCUUCCAUAAGAGGAUCCAGCAAGAAGACUUCAUCUGCAAACUAGAAAGACAGCUCUCACUAGGACCUGGAGCAUACUGGUACCCCAAUCAGAUUUUCCAGCCUCCAGCACUGUGAGAAAUAAAUGUCUGUUGUUUAAGCCAUCCAACUUUUUCUUUUUUUGGUGGUGGUUUUGGGGCCUGAACAUGAGGUGCUUCACCAAUGAGCUAUAUCCCCAUCCCUUUUUAUUUUGAAACCGGGUCUCACUAAGUUGCCCAGGCUGGCCUCAAACUCAAGAUCCUCCUGCCUCCCAAGCAAUUGGUAUUUCAGGCAUGUGCCUACCUCCAGCAAAUCUGAUCUUUUUAUAAUAAUUAAGUUC
This 476-nucleotide long non-coding RNA is filed under the name Marmota monax (woodchuck). Lineage: Eukaryota; Metazoa; Chordata; Mammalia; Rodentia; Sciuridae. The record is from RNAcentral.